CCUCUGAUAGCUCAGUUGGCAGAGCGGUGGACUGUAGUGCUUCUGCAAAGAAAUCCAUAGGUCGCUGGUUCAAAUCCGGCUCAGAGGA
This is a non-coding RNA of Trichuris suis (pig whipworm), 88 nucleotides long. Lineage: Eukaryota; Metazoa; Nematoda; Enoplea; Trichinellida; Trichuridae. The record is from Rfam.